UACGGAGGGGGCUAGCGUUGUUCGGAAUUACUGGGCGUAAAGCGCGCGUAGGCGGAUCUGCAAGUCGGGGGUGAAAUCCCGAGGCUCAACCUCGGAACUGCCUUCGAUACUGCGGGUCUCGAGUCCGGGAGAGGUGAGUGGAAUUCCUAGUGUAGAGGUGAAAUGCGCAGAUAUCGGGAGGAACACCGGUGGCGAAGGCGGUUCUCUGGGCCUGUACUGACGCUGAGGAGCGAAAGCGUGGGGAGCGAACAGG
RNAcentral lists this ribosomal RNA (253 nucleotides) under uncultured bacterium. Its description in RNAcentral is "partial 16S ribosomal RNA". It matches the Rfam family "Bacterial small subunit ribosomal RNA", at positions 524 to 776 of the family's 1533-position model. The record is from RNAcentral.